UAAUAAGGGCGGGUAAGAAAGAGAGGUGAGGUGACUAGCUUAGUAACUUUAUUCAAUCUAAAAGGUUGGCUCAGUGCCCUAUCCGCCUUUAAGUGAAGGGGCGCAUCCACCGAAGAUGGCAGCGGGAAAGACGGGAGCACGAACGAGGUAGCUUAUGCUUUUUUUCAUCCUCACUACCUGGUUUAUAGUAGAAUCUGGAGAAUAUGAACUUCUCGCAUUCUUCUUUUUGGUACGUUGUUAUGAGCAGCUCUG
This 252-nucleotide long non-coding RNA is filed under the name Nicotiana benthamiana. RNAcentral describes it as "long non-coding RNA (NBEN_LNC022913)". Lineage: Eukaryota; Viridiplantae; Streptophyta; Magnoliopsida; Solanales; Solanaceae. The record is from RNAcentral.